CCUACGGGAGGCAGCAGUGAGGAAUAUUGGUCAAUGGACGAGAGUCUGAACCAGCCAAGUAGCGUGAAGGAUGACUGCCCUAUGGUUUGUAAACUUCUUUUAUAUGGGAAUAAAGUGAUCCACGUGUGGGUUUUUGUAUGUACCCUAUGAAUAAGCAUCGGCUAACUCCGUGCCAGCAGCCGCGGUAAUACGGAGGAUGCGAGCGUUAUCCGGAUUUAUUGGGUUUAAAGGGUGCGUAGGUGGUUUGUUAAGUCAGUUGUGAAAGUUUGCGGCUCAACCGUAAAAUUGCAGUUGAAACUGGCAGUCUUGAGUAUAGUAGAGGUAGGCGGAAUGCGUGGUGUAGCGGUGAAAUGCUUAGAUAUCACGAAGAACUCCGAUUGCGAAGGCAGCUUACUAGACUGUAACUGACACUGAGGCUCGAAAGUGUGGGUAUCAAACAGGAUUAGAUACCCUAGUAGUC
Molecule: ribosomal RNA, 460 nt
Filed under: uncultured bacterium
Lineage: Bacteria
Description: partial 16S ribosomal RNA
Rfam family: Bacterial small subunit ribosomal RNA
Source: RNAcentral